CGGGGUGGAGUAACGCGUGAGGAACCUGCCUUGAAGAGGGGGGAAACAGUUGGAAACGAACUGCUAAUACCGCAUGACGCAUAGGGGUCGGCAUGAUUCUUAUGCCAAAGAUUUAUCGCUUCAAGAUGGCCUCGCGUCUGAUUAGCUAGUUGGCGGGGUAACGGCCCACCAAGGCGACGAUCAGUAACCGGACUGAGAGGUUGAACGGCCACAUUGGGACUGAGAUACGGCCCAG
RNAcentral lists this ribosomal RNA (235 nucleotides) under uncultured bacterium. RNAcentral describes it as "partial 16S ribosomal RNA". It matches the Rfam family "Bacterial small subunit ribosomal RNA", at positions 104 to 334 of the family's 1533-position model. The record is from RNAcentral.